UACGUAGGGUGCGAGCGUUAAUCGGAAUUACUGGGCGUAAAGUGUGCGCAGGCGGCCGAGCAAGUCGAGUGUGAAAGCCCCGAGCUUAACUUGGGAAUUGCGCUCGAAACUACUUGGCUGGAGUGUGGCAGAGGAAGGUGGAAUUCCAGGUGUAGCGGUGAAAUGCGUAGAGAUCUGGAGGAACACCGAUGGCGAAGGCAGCCUUCUGGGCCAACACUGACGCUCAUGCACGAAAGCGUGGGGAGCUAACAGG
RNAcentral lists this ribosomal RNA (253 nucleotides) under uncultured bacterium. RNAcentral's name for it is "partial 16S ribosomal RNA". It matches the Rfam family "Bacterial small subunit ribosomal RNA", at positions 524 to 776 of the family's 1533-position model. The record is from RNAcentral.